GGCUCGUUGGUAUAGGUGUAUUAUUCUAGCUUAGGGUGAAAGAAGUACCAGGUUCAAAUCCUGGACGAGCCC
Molecule: non-coding RNA, 72 nt
Organism: Danionella cerebrum
Lineage: Eukaryota; Metazoa; Chordata; Actinopteri; Cypriniformes; Danionidae
Source: the annotation of a GenBank genome assembly